CUUGCACCUUUCAAGCGAGUGGCGAACGGGUGAGUAACACGUGGAUAACCUGCCUCAAGGCUGGGGAUAACAUUUGGAAACAGAUGCUAAUACCGAAUAAAACUUAGUAUCGCAUGAUACAAAGUUGAAAGGCGCUACGGCGUCACCUAGAGAUGGGUCCGCGGUGCAUUAGUUAGUUGGUGGGGUAAAGGCCUACCAAGACAAUGAUGCAUAGCCGAGUUGAGAGACUGAUCGGCCACAUUGGGACUGAGACACGGCCCAAACUCCUACGGGAGGCUGCAGUAGGGAAUCUUCCACAAUGGGCGAAAGCCUGAUGGAGCAACGCCGCGUGUGUGAUGAAGGCUUUAGGGUCGUAAAGCACUGUUGUAUGGGAAGAAAUGCUAGAAUAGGGAAUGAUUCUAGUUCGACGGUACCAUACCAGAAAGGGACGGCUAAAUACGUGCCAGCAGCCGCGGUAAUACGUAUGUCCCGAGCGUUAUCCGGAUUUAUUGGGCGUAAAGCGAGCGCAGACGGUUGAUUAAGUCUGAUGUGAAAGCCCGGAGCUCAACUCCGGAAUGGCAUUGGAAACUGGUUAACUUGAGUGUUGUAGAGGUAAGUGGAACUCCAUGUGUUAAGC
RNAcentral lists this ribosomal RNA (616 nucleotides) under Leuconostoc lactis. Its description in RNAcentral is "bacterial SSU rRNA". It matches the Rfam family "Bacterial small subunit ribosomal RNA", at positions 79 to 681 of the family's 1533-position model. The record is from RNAcentral. Lineage: Bacteria; Bacillati; Bacillota; Bacilli; Lactobacillales; Lactobacillaceae.